AGUGAACGCUGGCGGUAGGCCUAACACAUGCAAGUCGAACGGCAGCACAGUAAGAGCUUGCUCUUACGGGUGGCGAGUGGCGGACGGGUGAGGAAUACAUCGGAAUCUACUUUUUCGUGGGGGAUCACGUAGGGAAACUUACGCUAAUACCGCAUACGACCUACGGGUGAAAGCAGGGGAUCUUCGGACCUUGCGCGAUUGAAUGAGCCGAUGUCGGAUUAGCUAGUUGGCGGGGUAAAGGCCCACCAAGGCGACGAUCCGUAGCUGGUCUGAGAGGAUGAUCAGCCACACUGGAACUGAGACACGGUCAAGACGCCUAAGGGAGGCAGCAGUGGGGAAUAUUGGACAAUGGGCGCAAGCCUGAUCCAGCCAGACCGCGUGGGUGAAGAAGGCCUUCGGGUUGUAAAGCCCUUUUGUUGGGAAAGAAAAGCAGCAGGUUAAUACCCCGCUGUUCUGACGGUACCCAAAGAAUAAGCACCGGCUAACUUCGUG
RNAcentral lists this ribosomal RNA (492 nucleotides) under uncultured bacterium. RNAcentral's name for it is "partial 16S ribosomal RNA". It matches the Rfam family "Bacterial small subunit ribosomal RNA", at positions 29 to 507 of the family's 1533-position model. The record is from RNAcentral.